GGCGAACGGGUGAGUAAUAUAUCGGAACGUGCCCUAGAGUGGGGGAUAACGUAGCGAAAGUUACGCUAAUACCGCAUACGAUCUACGGAUGAAAGUGGGGGAUUCGCAAGGACCUCAUGCUCGUGGAGCGGCCGAUAUCUGAUUAGCUAGUUGGUGGGGUAAAGGCCUACCAAGGCAUCGAUCAGUAGCUGGUCUGAGAGGACGACCAGCCACACUGGGACUGAGACACGGCCCAGACUCCAUACGGGAGGCAGCAGUGGGGAAUUUUGGACAAUGGGGGCAACCCUGAUCCAGCAAUGCCGCGUGUGUGAAGAAGGCCUUCGGGUUGUAAAGCACUUUUGUCAGGAACGAAAAGGUUACUGCUAAUACCGGUGACUGAUGACGGUACCUGAAGAAUAAGCACCGGCUAACUACGUGCCAGCAGCCGCGG
RNAcentral lists this ribosomal RNA (430 nucleotides) under uncultured bacterium. Its description in RNAcentral is "bacterial SSU rRNA". It matches the Rfam family "Bacterial small subunit ribosomal RNA", at positions 97 to 520 of the family's 1533-position model. The record is from RNAcentral.